AUUGAACGCUGGCGGCAGGCCUAAAACAUGCAAGUAGAGCGGAGCGGCGUACGGGGGAGUAAUGCAUAGGAAUCUGCCUGGUAGUGGGGGAGAACGUCCGGAAACGGGCGCUAAUACCGCAUACUAUCAGAUGAGCCUAGGUCGGAUUAGCAAGUUGGUGGGGUAAAGGCCUACCAAGGCGACGAUCCGUAACUGGUCUGAGAGGAUGAUCAGUCACACUGGAACUGAGACACGGUCCAGGCGCCUACGGUAGGCAGCAGUGGGGAAUAGUGGACAAUUGGCGAAAGCCUGAUCCAGCCAUGCCGCGUGUGUGAAGAAGGUCUUCGGAUUGUAAAGCACUUUAAGUUGGGAGGCGUUACCAACAGAAUAAGCACCGGCUAACUUCGUGCCAGCAGCCGCGGUAAUUC
Molecule: ribosomal RNA, 407 nt
Filed under: uncultured bacterium
Lineage: Bacteria
Description: partial 16S ribosomal RNA
Rfam family: Bacterial small subunit ribosomal RNA
Source: RNAcentral